This 440-nucleotide ribosomal RNA is filed under the name uncultured bacterium. RNAcentral's name for it is "partial 16S ribosomal RNA". It matches the Rfam family "Bacterial small subunit ribosomal RNA", at positions 338 to 795 of the family's 1533-position model. The record is from RNAcentral.
CCUACGGGUGGCAGCAGUAGGGAAUUUUGCGCAAUGGGCGAAAGCCUGACGCAGCAACGCCGCGUGAUCGAGACGCCCUUCGGGGUGUAAAGAUCUGUCUGUGGGGACGAAAAUUGACGGUACCCACAGAGGAAGCACCGGCUCACUCCGGGCCAGCAGCCGCGGUAAUACGGGGGCUGCAAGCGUUGUCCGGAAUCAUUGGGCGUAAAGAGUGCGUAGGCGGCACGUAAAGUCUGGUGUUAAAGGCAGAGGCUCAACUUCGGAACGGCACUGGAUACUUGCGAGCUAGAAAGCGGUAGAGGUAAAGGGAAUUCCUGGUGUAGCGGUGAAAUGCUUAGAGAUCAGAAGGAACAUCGGUUGCGUAAGCGCUUUACUGGGCCGUAAUUGACGCUGAGGAACGAAAGCCAGGGGAGCAAACGGGAUUAGAUACCCCAGUAGUC